Molecule: ribosomal RNA, 409 nt
Filed under: uncultured bacterium SY2-69
Lineage: Bacteria; Bacillati; Actinomycetota; Actinomycetes; Micrococcales; Micrococcaceae
Description: bacterial SSU rRNA
Rfam family: Bacterial small subunit ribosomal RNA
Source: RNAcentral
AGAGUUUGAUCAUGGCUCAGGACGAACGCUGGAGGCGUGCUUAACACAUGCAAGUCGAACGAUGAAGUGGAGCUUGCUCCACGGAUUAGUGGCGAACSGGUGAGUAACACGUGAAUAACCUGCCCUCAAUUUCGGAAUAACCCAGGGAAACCUGGGCUAAUACCGGAUAAGUAAACCUGUGGCAUCACAUGGUUUUGGAAAGUUUUUCGAUUGAGGAUGGAUUCGCGGCCUAUCAGCUUGUUGGUGAGGUAAUGGCUCACCAAGGCGACGACGGGUAGCCGGCCUGAGAGGGUGGACGGCCACACUGGGACUGAGACACGGCCCAGACUCCUACGGGAGGCAGCAGUGGGGAAUAUUGCGCAAUGGACGAAAGUCUGACGCAGCGACGCCUCGUGAGGGACGAAGGUCU